RNAcentral lists this ribosomal RNA (1449 nucleotides) under uncultured organism. Its description in RNAcentral is "SSU rRNA". It matches the Rfam family "Bacterial small subunit ribosomal RNA". The record is from RNAcentral.
GCUACAGGCUUAACACAUGCAAGUCGAGGGGCAGCAUGGUCUUAGCUUGCUAAGGCCGAUGGCGACCGGCGCACGGGUGAGUAACACGUAUCCAACCUGCCGUCUACUCUUGGACAGCCUUCUGAAAGGAAGAUUAAUACAAGAUGGCAUCAUGAGUCCGCAUGUUCACAUGAUUAAAGGUAUUCCGGUAGACGAUGGGGAUGCGUUCCAUUAGAUAGUAGGCGGGGUAACGGCCCACCUAGUCUUCGAUGGAUAGGGGUUCUGAGAGGAAGGUCCCCCACAUUGGAACUGAGACACGGUCCAAACUCCUACGGGAGGCAGCAGUGAGGAAUAUUGGUCAAUGGGCGAGAGCCUGAACCAGCCAAGUAGCGUGAAGGAUGACUGCCCUAUGGGUUGUAAACUUCUUUUAUAAAGGAAUAAAGUCGGGUAUGGAUACCCGUUUGCAUGUACUUUAUGAAUAAGGAUCGGCUAACUCCGUGUCAGCAGCCGCGGUAAUACGGAGGAUCCGAGCGUUAUCCGGAUUUAUUGGGUUUAAAGGGAGCGUAGAUGGAUGUUUAAGUCAGUUGUGAAAGUUUGCGGCUCAACCGUAAAAUUGCAGUUGAUACUGGAUAUCUUGAGUGCAGUUGAGGCAGGCGGAAUUCGUGGUGUAGCGGUGAAAUGCUUAGAUAUCACGAAGAACUCCGAUUGCGAAGGCAGCCUGCUAAGCUGCAACUGACAUUGAGGCUCGAAAGUGUGGGUAUCAAACAGGAUUAGAUACCCUGGUAGUCCACACGGUAAACGAUGAAUACUCGCUGUUUGCGAUAUACUGCAAGCGGCCAAGCGAAAGCGUUAAGUAUUCCACCUGGGGAGUACGCCGGCAACGGUGAAACUCAAAGGAAUUGACGGGGGCCCGCACAAGCGGAGGAACAUGUGGUUUAAUUCGAUGAUACGCGAGGAACCUUACCCGGGCUUAAAUUGCAGAUGAAUUACGGUGAAAGCCGUAAGCCGCAAGGCAUCUGUGAAGGUGCUGCAUGGUUGUCGUCAGCUCGUGCCGUGAGGUGUCGGCUUAAGUGCCAUAACGAGCGCAACCCUUGUUGUCAGUUACUAACAGGUUCCGCUGAGGACUCUGACAAGACUGCCAUCGUAAGAUGUGAGGAAGGUGGGGAUGACGUCAAAUCAGCACGGCCCUUACGUCCGGGGCUACACACGUGUUACAAUGGGGGGUACAGAGGGCCGCUACCACGCGAGUGGAUGCCAAUCCCCAAAACCUCUCUCAGUUCGGACUGGAGUCUGCAACCCGACUCCACGAAGCUGGAUUCGCUAGUAAUCGCGCAUCAGCCACGGCGCGGUGAAUACGUUCCCGGGCCUUGUACACACCGCCCGUCAAGCCAUGGGGGCCGGGGGUACCUGAAGUGCGUAACCGCGAGGAGCGCCCUAGGGUAAAACUGGUGACUGGGGCUAAGUAGUAAC